CGCACUAGUCGGGGAGUUAGCGGUGCCCUGUACCUGCAACCCGCUGCAGCAGGGAUGAAUCACGGCCCCCGGAUACCGUUUGUUUUGCAGUUACUGGUAAGCGGUGAUGAAGAACCGGUCCCGCGCAAUGCUGUCCUGUGAACCGUGUCAGGUGGGGAACCAAGCAGCACUAAGCAGAUCACAGUGUGUGCCGUGGGAGCGCCGGUUUUGAGCUUGCUGCCAGAGAG
RNAcentral lists this signal recognition particle RNA (227 nucleotides) under human gut metagenome. RNAcentral's name for it is "Bacterial large signal recognition particle RNA". It matches the Rfam family "Bacterial large signal recognition particle RNA", at positions 2 to 226 of the family's 256-position model. Rfam says of the family: The signal recognition particle (SRP) is a universally conserved ribonucleoprotein involved in the co-translational targeting of proteins to membranes. The record is from RNAcentral.